RNAcentral lists this ribosomal RNA (292 nucleotides) under uncultured bacterium. RNAcentral describes it as "partial 16S ribosomal RNA". The record is from RNAcentral. RNAcentral also lists the same sequence under 1 other name.
GGACUACUAGGGUUUCUAAUCCCGUUUGCUCCCCUGGCCUUCGUGCCUCAGCGUCAGGAACUGUCCAGAGAUCCGCCUUCGCCACUGGCCUUCCUCACGAUAUCUACGCAUUUCACUGCUACACCGUGAAUUCCGAUCUCCUCUCCAGUCCUCGAGCAAAGCAGUAUCAAGUGCAGUUCCGGAGUUAAGCUCCGGGAUUUCACACCUGACUUGCUUCGCCGCCUACGCACCCUUUACGCCCAAUGAAUCCGAACAACGCUUGAGACCUCUGUAUUACCGCGGCGGCUGGCAC